GAUGAAGAACGCAGCGAAAUGCGAUAAGUAAUGUGAAUUGCAGAAUUCAGUGAAUCAUCGAAUCUUUGAACGCACAUUGCGCCCUCUGGUAUUCCGGGGGGCAUGCCUGUUCGAGCGUCAUUAUAACCACUCAAGCUCUCGCUUGGUAUUGGGGUUCGCGGUUCCGCGGCCCCUAAAAUCAGUGGCGGUGCCUGUCGGCUCUACGCGUAGUAAUACUCCUCGCGUCUGGGUCCGGUAGGUCUACUUGCCAGCAACCCCCAAUUUUUACAGGUUGACCUCGGAUCAGGUAGGGAUACCCGCUGAACUUAAGCAUAUCGAUAAGCGGAGGA
RNAcentral lists this unclassified non-coding RNA (329 nucleotides) under soil metagenome. RNAcentral describes it as "partial contains 5.8S ribosomal RNA, internal transcribed spacer 2, and large subunit ribosomal RNA". The stretch from base 1 to 120 matches the Rfam family "5.8S ribosomal RNA", at positions 35 to 154 of the family's 154-position model. The record is from RNAcentral.